CCCUUAGAUGUCCUGGGCUGCACGCGCGCUACACUGCUGUAUUCAACAAGUGUUACCUUGACCGAGAGGCCUAGGAAAUCUUUUAAAAGUGCAUCGUGAUAGGAAUAGAUUAUUGCAAUUUUUAAUCUUGAACGAGGAAUUCCUAGUAAACGCAGAUCAUCAAUCUGCAUUGAUUACGUCCCUGCCCUUUGUACACACCGCCCGUCGCACCUACCGAUUGAAUGGUCCGGUGAAGCCUCGGGAUUGUAGCAAUCUACCUUUAUUGGUGGUUUGUUGCAAGAACUUGUCUAAACCUUAUCAUUUAGAGGAAGGUGAAGUCGUAACA
This 325-nucleotide ribosomal RNA is filed under the name uncultured eukaryote. RNAcentral's name for it is "partial 18S ribosomal RNA". It matches the Rfam family "Eukaryotic small subunit ribosomal RNA", at positions 1470 to 1796 of the family's 1831-position model. The record is from RNAcentral.